GUAGUCCACGCCGUAAACGAUGUCGACUAGCCGUUGGGAACCUUAGAGUUUCUUGUGGCGCAGCUAACGCGAUAAGUCGACCGCCUGGGGAGUACGGCCGCAAGGUUAAAGCUCAAAUGAAUUGACGGGGGCCCGCACAAGCGGUGGAGCAUGUGGUUUAAUUCGAUGCAACGCGAAGAACCUUACCACCCCUUGACAUCCUGCGAACUUUCUAGAGAUAGAUUGGUGCCUUCGGGAGCGCAGAGACAGGUGCUGCAUGGCUGUCGUCAGCUCGUGUUGUGAAAUGUUGGGUUAAGUCCCGUAACGAGCGCAACCCUUGUCCUUAGUUGCCAGCGAGUAAUGUCGGGAACUCUAAGGAGACUGCCGGUGACAAACCGGAGGAAGGUGGGGACGACGUCAAGUCAUCAUGGCCCUUACGGGGUGGGCUACACACGUGCUACAAUGGCCGGUACAGACGGUUGCAAACCCGCGAGGGGGAGCCAAUCCGAGAAAACCGGUCGUAGUCCGGAUUGCAGUCUGCAACUCGACUGCAUGAAGUCGGAAUCGCUAGUAAUCGCGGAUCAGCAUGCCGCGGUGAAUA
This 580-nucleotide ribosomal RNA is filed under the name uncultured Gammaproteobacteria bacterium. Its description in RNAcentral is "bacterial SSU rRNA". It matches the Rfam family "Bacterial small subunit ribosomal RNA", at positions 790 to 1368 of the family's 1533-position model. Lineage: Bacteria; Pseudomonadati; Pseudomonadota; Gammaproteobacteria. The record is from RNAcentral.